Molecule: long non-coding RNA, 1339 nt
Organism: Alnus glutinosa
Lineage: Eukaryota; Viridiplantae; Streptophyta; Magnoliopsida; Fagales; Betulaceae
Exons: 2
Source: RefSeq, a predicted model, not a curated record
UAAUUUGGUUUUUAGUUUUUUCAAUUUUGCUUCAUUCGUUGAAUGACUUCUGAUGUUCUUUCUAAUAAGAAGUAUAUAUAUAUAUAAUUCGUGAAAUGUUUAGUAAUUGAAUUUGAAGCAUUUAGGGCUUUGUUAUGGGAAAUUGUGAUAAUUUUGGGGAUUUUCAGUUACCCCUUUAGCAAUGUUCUGAGUGCUUUAGGGAUGAACAAGCCCCUCAAAUCCAUCCAUCCUACUCACUUUGUCAGCUUUCUCUUCUCUAGUCUUGCUGAUCAUUAAUGGGUGGUACAUACACGCCUUCAAUUUUAUAGCUUAGUGGAGUAAAAUUCUGAUGUCAUUACAAAAUCUUUUAGGAUAAUUGAUUUUGGUUUCUGGGUUUGAAUUUUGUACAUUAAAUUUGGCUGAAGAGCGCAUUGUUUGAAGAAAGAAUGAUUUUUUUAAAACCUGUUGGGCAAUAAAAAGCAAUUCUUUUUGAGUCCCAUGAAUGGUGUCUGUGAAAUUUGGACACUGUUUUUGUGUUUCUUGCCAAAUGUUGAUGAUGAUAAAUCCAAAGGCUUGUUUCUCAAAACAUUCGCAGUGGCCGCCUAAGAGCUUUCGCCUUUGCCGGGCUUGAGAGCUUGUGCUGUUCAAUCCUUCCUUGGAUGUCUGAAACUUAUUUUCCCUCUCACCUCCACACACAGCAACCUUUGGUGAUCAGAUGUUUUGAGCAAAUUUCUUAUUUAUUCAGGACUUUUGCUUUGUUAUAUAUGAAAUUCACAAUGCUAUGUUUAUUUUCUUUUGAAAAUUCUAUUCAUAAAUGGCUGAAUCUCAUUCUUCCUUCAUAUUUAUUCUGGGUAUUCAAUAUCUAUGCGUUUUGUUUCAUAAUUUGUCCAAUGAUGACAAAUCCAAAGGCUUGUUUCUCAAAACAUUCGCAGUGGCCGCCUAAGAGCUUUCGCCUUCGCCAGGCUUGAGAGCUUGUGCUGCUUCAAUCCUUCCUUGGAUGUCUGAGGAAUUUUUCAUUUGAUUGUGAAGUUCUAUUAACUUCUCUGAUGGGGUUGAUCUUGAGAUCACUAUGGAAGACAUCGCUUUGGCUGUAGAGUGCCCCCACCGGUGCCCGCUAGACUUGGUCAAGCGAAAUGACACUUCCCGCCAUGGCAUCUUCCCUAUUGGCUUCACGGCAAGAAAUUGUGGAUUAUAUGUGUGGAAGUGAUACAUGAAUGAACAAGUCAAUGCAUGAUUAUAUAUAUUUUUUUUAAUAAAAGAUUUUUGGACGACAUUAUUGAGUGUUUGACAGAUACACGUGAGUUAUAUUUUUCAUGUAUGUGAAAUUUUCAUGUUAAAUUCAAUUUACUAUUAUUUUGAA